GUAAACUUCUUUAGAAUAGGAAGAAACUUAUCUACGUGUAGAUAACUGACGGUACUAUUAGAAUAAGGAUCGGCUAACUCCGUGCCAGCAGCCGCGGUAAUACGGAGGAUCCAAGCGUUAUCCGGAUUCAUUGGGUUUAAAGGGUCCGUAGGCGGGUCUUUAAGUCAGUGGUGAAAGCCGACAGCUCAACUGUCGAACUGCCAUUGAUACUGGAGACCUUGAGUACAAAUGAAGUAGGCGGAAUGAGUCAUGUAGCGGUGAAAUGCAUAGAUAUGACUCAGAACACCGAUUGCGAAGGCAGCUUACUAACAUGUAACUGACGCUGAGGGACGAAAGCGUGGGGAGCGAACAGGAUUAGAUACCCUGGUAGUCCACGCCGUAAACGAUCAUCACUCGCUGUUGGCGAUAUACUGUCAGCGGCCAAGCGAAAGUAUUAAGUGAUGCACCUGGGGAGUACGCCGGCAACGGUGAAACUCAAAGGAAUUGACGGGGGCCCGCACAAGCGAUGGAGCAUGUGGUUUAAUUCGAUGAUACGCGAGGAACCUUACCAGGGCUUAAAUGUAGUAUGACCGGUCUAGAAAUAGGCCUUCUCUUCGGAGCAGAUUACAAGGUGCUGCAUGGUUGUCGUCAGCUCGUGCCGUGAGGUGUUAGGUUAAGUCCUGCAACGAGCGCAACCCCUAUUCUUAGUUGCCAGCGGUUCGGCCGGGGACUCUAAGAAGACUGCCAGUGCAAACUGUGAGGAAGGUGGGGAUGACGUCAAAUCAUCACGGCCCUUACGUCCUGGGCUACACACGUGCUACAAUGGUAGGUACAGAGAGCAGCCAAUGCGUGAGCAUGAGCGA
RNAcentral lists this ribosomal RNA (842 nucleotides) under uncultured Flavobacteriia bacterium. RNAcentral describes it as "bacterial SSU rRNA". It matches the Rfam family "Bacterial small subunit ribosomal RNA", at positions 425 to 1270 of the family's 1533-position model. The record is from RNAcentral. Lineage: Bacteria; Pseudomonadati; Bacteroidota; Flavobacteriia.